CGUGUGAGUUUCUAACAGAAAAUUUACAACACAUCAAUGAGAAAUUGAAAAAAGUAAAUAAAAUUAUACAUUUGUCAUUUUCGCUGUUGAGGUUACAUGAGUGCAUUAGCUGCCUUAUUUUUACAUGUUCACAAAUCAGUAUCCAGGAGAAGAGUAAAUAUAUAGAGGCUCUGCAUCCUCCCCUGAAAUGUUGUGUUCUUAAGGAAACCAGGUGCUUUUUCCAAGUUAAGAAAGAGUUUUAAAACUAUCCAUGCAUGUCCUCACAUCUAAUUUAUAAAAGAUGAUUAAAUUGAUCAUUGAAAUAUGUAUCAGAGUGAGAACUUCUCA
RNAcentral lists this long non-coding RNA (327 nucleotides) under Mytilus galloprovincialis (Mediterranean mussel). Lineage: Eukaryota; Metazoa; Mollusca; Bivalvia; Mytilida; Mytilidae. The record is from RNAcentral.